CAGCACCUCAAGUGGUCAGGAUGAUUAUUGGGCCAAAAGCAUCCGUAGCCGGCGCUGUAAGUUUUCGGUUAAAUCUGUACGCUCAACGUACAGGCUGCCGGGAAUACUGCAGCGCUAGGGAGUGGGAGAGGUAGACGGUACUCGGUAGGAAGGGGUAAAAUCCUUUGAUCUAUUGAUGACCACCUGUGGCGAAGGCGGUCUACCAGAACACGUCCGACGGUGAGGGAUGAAAGCUGGGGGAGCAAACCGGAUUAGAUACCCGAGUAGUCC
RNAcentral lists this ribosomal RNA (270 nucleotides) under uncultured archaeon. Its description in RNAcentral is "partial 16S ribosomal RNA". It matches the Rfam family "Archaeal small subunit ribosomal RNA", at positions 477 to 747 of the family's 1478-position model. The record is from RNAcentral.